This 466-nucleotide long non-coding RNA is filed under the name Linum usitatissimum (flax). RNAcentral's name for it is "long non-coding RNA (LUSI_LNC001653)". The record is from RNAcentral. Lineage: Eukaryota; Viridiplantae; Streptophyta; Magnoliopsida; Malpighiales; Linaceae.
GUUCCUCAUUGUUAUCAUUUAUCUUAACACACUCUUCGCUUGAAAGAGGUUCAGCCUGUUCAACCGUCGCUUCUAUGUCCAGACCAUUACAUGUUCUAAGUGAAGGCUCAUCUUCAUCGUCUUUUCUCAAUCUCUUCUUUCUUUGAUGCUGGUCACUGCUAUCAAACGUCUUCAAACAGCCAUGCUGGACCUCCACUGAACCAAUUUGUAGAUCUUGAACAUGAGACCUAUCUCCUUCAUUCUGUAUCAGAAGCUCCACAUCCUCCGUGCUAAUUUUUAAGCUUGGUGCCUUGGCAUUUUGCGGAGAGGAGUAGAUUUCAAUUCUUAACACAUCAACUUUGGUCAAUGAGGAACCUCGUGCUUUCGUUGCCUUCUUCAGAGUAGCAUAGUCACUUCCUUUGACCAAGAUUGGAUGUUUCUUCGACUGACACAAACUUUCAAACUUCGGCUUGCAAUCCUCACAAAA